UACGAAGGGGGCUAGCGUUGCUCGGAAUCACUGGGCGUAAAGGGUGCGUAGGCGGGUCUUUUAAGUCAGGGGUGAAAUCCUGGAGCUCAACUCCAGAACUGCCUUUGAUACUGAGGAUCUUGAGUUCGGGAGAGGUGAGUGGAACUGCGAGUGUAGAGGUGAAAUUCGUAGAUAUUCGCAAGAACACCAGUGGCGAAGGCGGCUCACUGGCCCGAUACUGACGCUGAGGCACGAAAAGCGUGGGGAGCGAACAGG
Molecule: ribosomal RNA, 255 nt
Filed under: uncultured bacterium
Lineage: Bacteria
Description: partial 16S ribosomal RNA
Rfam family: Bacterial small subunit ribosomal RNA
Source: RNAcentral